GUGCCCUCUGCUUCUCAAAUGCAUGAGCUAAAAGUCCAAACAAUGGACACUUGUUUAUGGCAACGAGGUCCUUAAAGUUUGGGGCCAGGCAAUGAAUCUCUGGGGUAUCUUCCUGAUACUGAGUUUCUGGAUGUCGUAA
Molecule: small RNA, 139 nt
Filed under: Phascolarctos cinereus (koala)
Lineage: Eukaryota; Metazoa; Chordata; Mammalia; Diprotodontia; Phascolarctidae
Description: sRNA (ENSPCIG00000006691.2)
Source: RNAcentral